GUGUGCCGCACGGGCAGUCAGCUCGGUGCCUGCCCUCCUGGAGACUGCUGGGGACACAGGCAGUGGUGUGAGCAAGUAUCUUAAACUACAACGAGUGUUACAACCAGGGACAUAUACACAGGGCCAGAGGCACCAAGAAGGACACCCACCCUCGCCCAGACAAACAGGAAGAUCUCCGUGAGCACCUGGGAGAUGGUGGCAGAUCCAGUGAGCUCUCUGGCUCUUCACCAGAGGCAGGAUGAAGGACACUGGUGCUGGGGCCACCAGCUUCCUUUCUUACCCUCAUUUCCAUCUGAUUCCCCCCCCCUUUUUU
Molecule: long non-coding RNA, 313 nt
Filed under: Cavia porcellus (domestic guinea pig)
Lineage: Eukaryota; Metazoa; Chordata; Mammalia; Rodentia; Caviidae
Description: lncRNA (ENSCPOG00000040205.1)
Source: RNAcentral